RNAcentral lists this ribosomal RNA (253 nucleotides) under uncultured bacterium. RNAcentral describes it as "partial 16S ribosomal RNA". It matches the Rfam family "Bacterial small subunit ribosomal RNA", at positions 524 to 776 of the family's 1533-position model. The record is from RNAcentral.
UACAGAGGGUGCAAGCGUUAAUCGGAAUUACUGGGCGUAAAGCGUGCGUAGUCGGUUAUUUAAGUCGGAUGUGAAAUCCCCGGGCUCAACCUGGGAAUUGCAUUCGAUACUGGAUAGCUAGAGUUCGGCAGAGGGAAGUGGAAUUUCGGGUGUAGCGGUGAAAUGCGCAGAUAUCAGGAGGAACACCGGUGGCGAAGGCGGGUCUCUGGGCCGAUACUGACGCUGAGGAGCGAAAGCGUGGGGAGCGAACAGG